Molecule: long non-coding RNA, 414 nt
Organism: Gossypium raimondii (Peruvian cotton)
Lineage: Eukaryota; Viridiplantae; Streptophyta; Magnoliopsida; Malvales; Malvaceae
Exons: 3
Source: RefSeq, a predicted model, not a curated record
AGAAAAGAAAAGGGAAAUUAAGAUUUUAAAGCUUCAAGUUAAUUGCUAACAAGGAAAACGAGGCAUCGGCAUCCAAAGGAAAAGAAAAGAUCGUUGAGGAGUAAACGCGUAUUCCGGGUUGGAUAAUCUGGUGUGUUUGGGUGGAAUCCGCGUAUCUGUCAGAGUCCGAGCUUUGUUAAUAAGGUAAAUAAUUGAAAUGAAAAUUUGAAAAUGAAAUUGGUUGAUUUGACACUAUAGAAAAAUACGAGAAAGAAUGUAUGAGUUAAAUUAUAAAUUUAAUUAGUAUGUAAAUAUAUAUAUAUAAAUUUAAGAUCUAUGGAAUGAUAUAUGAAUAUGUAUAUUUAAUUUAAAGUGAUUUAUAAGAUUAUGGUCAAUAUUUGAAAUUUUAUUAUUAAAUAGUUUAAUUUAUAGUAA